Molecule: ribosomal RNA, 253 nt
Filed under: uncultured bacterium
Lineage: Bacteria
Description: partial 16S ribosomal RNA
Rfam family: Bacterial small subunit ribosomal RNA
Source: RNAcentral
UACAGAGGUCUCAAGCGUUGUUCGGAUUCAUUGGGCGUAAAGGGUGCGUAGGCGGCGCGGUAAGUCGGGUGUGAAAUCUCGGAGCUUAACUCCGAAACUGCAUUCGAUACUGCCGUGCUUGAGGACUGGAGAGGAGACUGGAAUUUACGGUGUAGCGGUGAAAUGCGUAGAUAUCGUAAGGAAGACCAGUGGCGAAGGCGGGUCUCUGGACAGUUCCUGACGCUGAGGCACGAAGGGCAGGGGAGCAAACGGG